This 223-nucleotide long non-coding RNA is filed under the name Rosa chinensis. RNAcentral describes it as "sRNA RchiOBHm_Chr5g0054981". Lineage: Eukaryota; Viridiplantae; Streptophyta; Magnoliopsida; Rosales; Rosaceae. The record is from RNAcentral.
AUGAUUAAAAACAUUAGCAGGACAAUGAACUACUGCGAACACGUCAAGGUUCUCGGUCUCGUUGGUGACGGCCACGCCAUUGCCCAGAAUAUAAGCUGAGCCCUUAGUCAAAUUGAACUACUGAGAACUGUUCUAAAUCUCUGCAUAUGGCGACACCUAAAUCACAGGAAACUUGGAAAAUGAGCAUCAGUUGAGCUUCGAAGAGAUCAAAAUUCGAGCUUUG